Molecule: ribosomal RNA, 205 nt
Filed under: uncultured bacterium
Lineage: Bacteria
Description: partial 16S ribosomal RNA
Rfam family: Bacterial small subunit ribosomal RNA
Source: RNAcentral
UACGUAGGGUGCAAGCGUUGUCCGGAAUUAUUGGGCGUAAAGAGCUCGUAGGCGGUUUGUCGCGUCUGGUGUGAAAAUCCAGGGCUUAACCCUGGACCUGCAUCGGGUACGGGCAGACUAGAGUGCGGUAGGGGAGAUCGGAAUUCCUGGUGUAGCGGUGAAAGCGCAGGAUAAGUCGACGGAGGAACACCGGCGGCGAAGGCGG